This 163-nucleotide long non-coding RNA is filed under the name Nannospalax galili (Upper Galilee mountains blind mole rat). Its description in RNAcentral is "Non-coding RNA LOC285194 (ENSNGAG00000009087.1)". It matches the Rfam family "Non-coding RNA LOC285194". Rfam says of the family: Deletion of this gene is associated with poor survival of osteosarcoma patients. It may act as a growth suppressor in osteoblasts. The record is from RNAcentral. Lineage: Eukaryota; Metazoa; Chordata; Mammalia; Rodentia; Spalacidae.
ACAAGCUAAGAGAUACAAAGGCAAGUGUGACUGCUCUGACAGCAAAAACAAGCAAAUAUCUCCAGAGGGGAUUAAUCCCUCUGCUUUAAAGUAACCAAAACAAAGAAAGCUGAGCCAGCUUCUCUGGGAACAACACCUGUCCAUGAGACAAGGAUGAGAUAAU